Long non-coding RNA from Mus musculus (house mouse), 1992 nucleotides. RefSeq annotates it as predicted gene, 52526. The record is from RefSeq and is a predicted model, not a curated record. The transcript is spliced from 2 exons. NCBI's taxonomy places the organism in Eukaryota, Metazoa, Chordata, Mammalia, Rodentia, Muridae.
AAGUUUCUAUUACCAACCCUCUGAACUCUAUCUGCUCCCGGGUGCCAAGAGUCAGGGCCCUCCCCUCCACCCGGGCAGAGGAAGUAGCAAGGGCUGGAAGGAGCCAGGCUUAGCGACUCAUUCUCCCCUGGAUUUCCUGUCUCCCUCCCUUGCCAAACCUCACUUCUGAAAAGCAGGCUUCACCUUCUAUGAGUCAGUGUGGAUCGCUGAGGUGCUGCUGAACCGGAGCCACUGACUUGCCUUGAUGCCUUCAGGACAAGCCCUGCCAGUGUGAGGCUCGGAUGGGGUGUGCCCGGCUGCAGGAUGUUUUACGUGUUCCCCAUAACCUGGAUGUGUUGCUUGUGAUUUGAUCAUCUUCAGAACAGAGCUGUGACAAGCUGGGCCACUCCUCUGAACACUAACAGCUGAAAGGGGUCUUUGUUUCAUGGCUCUCCACAUCAUCUGGGCAGAAGUCCAGGGGCAAAGGAAAAGGGGGAGGGGGGGCCUGCAGAUCAUCAUGCAGUCACCCUGUGUUGAGAACCAAGGGGUCCCAGCCAGGAUACAGAACAGUAUUCUCCUGCCCACAAGACAAGAUACCCAUGUGUUUGCUACCAAGAUCAGGAAGCACAAAGCAAACUCCAUGGUUCUAUCACCAUCACUGUUGUCAAGAGUGAUGUCAUUAGGAAAAGAGGAAACAGGACCUUCCCUCACAAACGGCCAAAGGGAAAUAUGAGUGCUUCCUGGAGGAAACUGUGGCAGUGUGAAACUAAUUAUUUUAGAAAGUCUAUAAAAAGGCCGUCAAAAUAAAGAGUAUAGAUUACAUAGUAGAGAAGUUGGAAGUUGUUUGUUCCCUACAUCAUAUCUAGGUAGUCUAUUCAUCAGACCUGUGGCCAAGCUUUACUACUAAGUCUUUCAUUAGCUUACUUGAGGUACCACCUACAGAAAUAUUGUCCCCCAAAUCUGUUUGGGAGUGACAAGCAUUCCCACUAAUGACAUCACCAGUUGACAUACAGCAAUAGCAAAAUCUUAUGUGUGGGACUUUAAAGUCUCUCAAGUAUGUUGGUGGCUAUGGUAAGUGUCAGUUUUGUGGUCCUUACACAAGGCUGGGCACUCUUGCCCAUGAUGCAUAUGAAGUCACAUUUCCAGUGGUCUGUCUUCUUUAUGGGAAAACCUGACCUGAGCUUUGCUUCUGUUCAUUUUUAAUUCUUUCAGAAGAUGAAACAGAGGAUGCGUACACAUGCCUUCCUUUGUUUUUAUUCUUUUAUAUUUCUUUUGUCUUUAAAGCCCUAGUUGUUCCAAACACAAACAAAAUAUCUACAGAGUGAGCAGCGGCCCCUGUGGAGUAAACCUAGACUCCCUGGAAGACAUCUACAGUCACCCAACAUCAAAUAUCAUCUACUAACACAAAGGUUUGGUAUCUGUUUAGAUAUAUAUAGUCCUAAGAAACGUCAUACAUCUACCACAAAUGCUAUGAAAACUGCAGAAGAGGCCUUUUGGUAUAAAAUAUGGAAAGAGAAAGCAAUGGGGAAAGAUGCUCCAGCUGAAGGAACCUGGAGUCCUUUCUCAGUGAGUUCCACUGAGGCCUGGCUUUGACUUGGGUUCCUAAGAUGCUACCAGGGAAGGGACAGUUCAAAGUCAAUAGAAGGUUAAAUGUCCUGAUGAAAUAUCAGUUCAACUUUAAAUUAUUUGAUGCAUGGUUUUUGCCAACAUGAAUGAGUAAGUGAAUGAAUGAGUCUUGAUCCAAGGAUGAACCACAUGAAAGAGGAACAGAAUGAAGUGGAAGAUUAAGGAUCAAAUGCAUGGGGGCUGGUGAGAUGGCUCAGUGGGUAAGAGCACCCGACUGCUCUUCCGAAGGUCCGGAGUUCAAAUCCCAGCAACCACAUGGUGGCUCACAACCAUCCGUAACGAGAUCUGACUCCGUCUUCUGGAGUGUCUGAAGACAGCUACAGUGUACUUACAUAUAAUAAAUAAAUAAAUCUUAAAAAAAAUGGUAUCAAAUGCAUUGCUUCUUUU